RNA transcript from Cajanus cajan (pigeon pea), 1762 nucleotides. It is a transcript of the gene named protein DETOXIFICATION 40, with no coding region annotated. Lineage: Eukaryota; Viridiplantae; Streptophyta; Magnoliopsida; Fabales; Fabaceae. The record is from RefSeq and is a predicted model, not a curated record.
AUAUGACUGCAUAUAAUAUAUAUACACAUGUUGGUGUUCUAGUUGGUGAGUGGGAACUAGCGGCGGCUACCGCCUAAGAAAUCAAAAUUGAUAGGAGAAACUAGAAAGGGUUUCCGAUUCCGAUGGCUUCAGCGGAGAAACAACCACUCUUGGAGAAUUCAGACUCAAAAGACGCCUCCGAUGGGAAACUCGAGAGAAUCCUAACCGAUAACUCAUUACCCUUGCUGAACCGCGUGGGAGCCGCCACGUGGAUCGAGUUGAAGCUCCUCUUCUUCCUCGCCGCCCCCGCCGUCUUGGUCUACCUCAUCAACUACGUCAUGUCCAUGUCCACGCAAAUCUUCUCCGGCCACCUCGGCAACCUCGAACUGGCCGCCGCCUCGCUCGGCAACACCGGCAUCCAAAUCUUCGCCUACGGCCUCAUGUUAGGCAUGGGGAGUGCGGUUGAGACGCUAUGCGGCCAAGCAUUCGGUGCUCAGAAGUUCGACAUGCUAGGCGUCUACAUGCAACGCUCAACGAUCCUCCUCUCCCUAGCGGGAAUUCUUUUGACUAUCAUAUACAUUUUCAGCGAACCGAUUUUGAUAUUUCUCGGGGAAUCGCCGAGAAUCGCUUCCGCCGCGGCGCUCUUCGUCUACGGUCUCAUCCCUCAGAUCUUCGCCUACGCCGUGAACUUCCCCAUCCAGAAGUUCCUCCAGGCGCAGAGCAUCGUGGCGCCCAGCGCCUACAUCUCAGCCGCCACGCUGUUGCUCCACCUGGCGCUGAGUUGGGUGGCGGUGUACGAGAUUGGGCUGGGCCUGCUGGGCGCCUCGCUCGUUCUCAGCCUCUCCUGGUGGAUCAUUGUCAUAGCCCAGUUUGUUUAUAUUGUGAAGAGCGAGCGCUGCAGGCGCACGUGGCAGGGCUUCACGUGGCAAGCGUUCUCCGGGUUGCCCGGGUUUUUCAAGCUGUCCGCAGCCUCCGCGGUUAUGCUGUGUUUGGAGACGUGGUAUUUUCAGAUUCUCGUUUUGCUCGCCGGGCUUCUCCCUCAACCUGAGUUGGCGCUCGAUUCUCUUUCUAUUUGUACCACAAUUUCUGGAUGGGUGUUCAUGAUCUCUGUUGGGUUCAACGCAGCUGCAAGCGUGAGAGUGAGCAACGAACUAGGAGCAAGAAAUCCAAAAUCAGCCUCGUUUUCGGUGGUGGUGGUGACAUUGAUUUCUUUAAUAAUAUCAGUUAUUGCAGCACUGGUGGUUCUUGCAUUAAGGGAUGUCAUUAGCUAUGCCUUCACAGGGGGUGAAGAAGUUGCUGCUGCAGUUUCAGAUCUUUGCCCUCUGCUUGCUCUUGCUCUUGUCCUCAAUGGCAUUCAGCCCGUCUUAUCUGGGGUGGCUGUUGGAUGUGGAUGGCAAGCUUUCGUAGCUUAUGUAAACGUGGGUUGUUAUUAUGGAGUUGGCAUACCAUUGGGUGCGGUUCUCGGCUUUUAUUUCAAAUUUGGUGCCAAGUGUAUUUGUGGCAGGGAAUAUGGGUGGGAAUGCUAGGUGGCACCGUUAUGCAAACAAUUAUUCUAAUUUGGGUCACAUUUAGAACGGAUUGGACUAAGGAGGUGGAGGAAGCAGCCAAGAGGUUGAAAGCAUGGGAGGACAAGAAGGAGGAGCCACUUCUAAUAAACUGAAGAAUAACUUUGUCUUGUGUGGGAGCUAGCUAGAGAUAUAUAUAAUAAAUAUUUUUUACUUGUAAUUGAAGACAAUUCUAAGGAUUAAUUCUACAAACUGCCUCUGUUAAUAUUUUUCUUCUA